This is a long non-coding RNA of Amblyraja radiata (thorny skate), 141 nucleotides long. RefSeq lists it as uncharacterized. The transcript is spliced from 3 exons. Lineage: Eukaryota; Metazoa; Chordata; Chondrichthyes; Rajiformes; Rajidae. The record is from RefSeq and is a predicted model, not a curated record.
CCAGAGAUGCUGCCCGGCCCGCUGAGUUACUCCAGCACUUUUGGCUUGGUAGAUUACACGUUUUGUUCACAUUGCAUUUAGUUAAAAAGACAUGAAAUGUUCUGAAGUCAUUUUCAAACAUCUAAAUUUGUUUUGUUUUUU